AGUGUGUUCAUCGAUGAUUCGCGAACACGUACCUUCAUCUUGUUCUCCUCAGCUAACGCCGGUGUGUCAGUGUCGGGAGGGUAGGAUACCGUCACGUAGAUGUUAUAUGGCUUUACCUGCAGGACACAACACAGAGCGAGUACACAACAUUGGGUAUGACAUCAGCGUUGAUUCCAUCACACACACACACACACACACACCUCCAUCUGCAGAGCUUCGGCGAGGCCGCGGAGGGCAAAUUUGGAGGCGGAGUACGCCGUGUAGCCGAAGAGUCCGAGCUGCCCGGCCUGAGAACACACGAACACCACGCGGCCCAUCCGCCGCUCCUUCAUGUUGCUGAUCACAGCUCGCGUGGCAUACACACUGCCCAGGUAGUUCACCUCCAUCAGACUCUGACACACACACACACAUUACACCUGACAUUACUAGUAACUGUACUUCUAUAACGCGUUUAUGAUAUUAAAGUGUGAGACGUUAAUUUGACCAUAAAGCUGAUCAAAGGGCAAUAAAAUAUUUGAUAUAUAUAUAUAUAUAUAUAUAUAUAUAUAUAUAUAUAUAUAUAUAUAAAUUUUAAUAAAACAAUACAUGUAAUAAAAAGCUUUGUUUGCAUGAAUUCUUUCAAGGUGGUUUUACAAUAUGCAAUUGAGAGCCAUGUAGCACUGCUACAUCACAGGGAAGGGGGCAGGACUUAGAGGUGUGGUGG
Ictalurus punctatus (channel catfish) is the source of this 703-nucleotide long non-coding RNA. RefSeq lists it as uncharacterized. The record is from RefSeq and is a predicted model, not a curated record. The transcript has 2 exons. NCBI's taxonomy places the organism in Eukaryota, Metazoa, Chordata, Actinopteri, Siluriformes, Ictaluridae.